This 497-nucleotide ribosomal RNA is filed under the name uncultured bacterium. Its description in RNAcentral is "partial 16S ribosomal RNA". It matches the Rfam family "Bacterial small subunit ribosomal RNA", at positions 28 to 507 of the family's 1533-position model. The record is from RNAcentral.
GACGAACGCUGGCGGCGUGCCUAAUACAUGCAAGUUGAGCGAUGAAGAUUGGUGCUUGCACCAAUUUGAAGAGCAGCGAACGGGUGAGUAACGCGUGGGGAAUCUGCCUUUGAGCGGGGGACAACAUUUGGAAACGAAUGCUAAUACCGCAUAACAACUUUAAACAUAAGUUUUAAGUUUGAAAGAUGCAAUAGCAUCACUCAAAGAUGAUCCCGCGUUGUAUUAGCUAGUUGGUGAGGUAAAGGCUCACCAAGGCGAUGAUACAUAGCCGACCUGAGAGGGUGAUCGGCCACAUUGGGACUGAGACACGGCCCAAACUCCUACGGGAGGCAGCAGUAGGGAAUCUUCGGCAAUGGACGAAAGUCUGACCGAGCAACGCCGCGUGAGUGAAGAAGGUUUUCGGAUCGUAAAACUCUGUUGGUAGAGAAGAACGUUGGUGAGAGUGGAAAGCUCAUCAAGUGACGGUGACUACCCAGAAAGGGACGGCUAACUACGUG